GAUGAACGCUGGCGGCGUGCCUAACACAUGCAAGUCGAGCGAUUUACUUCGGUAAAGAGCGGAGGACGGGUGAGUAACGCGUGGGUAACCUGCCCUGUACACACGGAUAACAUACUGAAAGGUAUGCUAAUACGGGAUAACAUAAGAGAGUCGCAUGGCUUUCUUAUCAAAGCUUUUGCGGUACAGGAUGGACCCGCGUCUGAUUAGCUAGUUGGUAAGGUAACGGCUUACCAAGGCGACGAUCAGUAGCCGACCUGAGAGGGUGCUAGGCUCCAAUGGAACAGAGAAACGUUCCAAACUCGUAAGGUAGGCAGCAGUGGGGAAUUUGCCACAAUGGGCGAAAGUCUGAUGCAGCAACGCCGCGUGAGAUAUUACUGCCUUCGGAUCGUACAGCUAUGUCCUCAAGGGAGAUAAUGACAGUACUUGAGGAGGAAGCCCCGGCUAACUACGUGCCAGCCGCCGCAGUAA
RNAcentral lists this ribosomal RNA (468 nucleotides) under uncultured bacterium. Its description in RNAcentral is "partial 16S ribosomal RNA". It matches the Rfam family "Bacterial small subunit ribosomal RNA", at positions 28 to 523 of the family's 1533-position model. The record is from RNAcentral.